RNAcentral lists this ribosomal RNA (253 nucleotides) under uncultured bacterium. RNAcentral describes it as "partial 16S ribosomal RNA". It matches the Rfam family "Bacterial small subunit ribosomal RNA", at positions 524 to 776 of the family's 1533-position model. The record is from RNAcentral.
UACGAAGGUGGCAAGCGUUACUCGGAAUUACUAGGCGUAAAGGGCAGGUAGGCGGUUUGAUAAGUCUGUUGUGUCAGCUCCUGGCUUAACUGGGAGAGGUCAACGGAAACUAUUAGGCUUGAGUGUAGGAGAGGAUACUGGAAUUCCUGGUGUAGCGGUGAAAUGCGCAGAUAUCAGGAGGAACACCAAUGGCGAAAGCAAGUAUCUGGACUAUUACUGACGCUAAGCUGCGAAAGCUAGGGGAGCAAACAGG